Molecule: non-coding RNA, 123 nt
Organism: Triticum aestivum (bread wheat)
Lineage: Eukaryota; Viridiplantae; Streptophyta; Magnoliopsida; Poales; Poaceae
Source: Rfam
CAAAUAUUCCAUCCGUCCAAAAAUACUCGUCAGAGAAAUGAUGUAUCUAGAUGUAUUUUAGUUCUAAAUACAUCUAUUUUUACCCAUUUUUGCGACAAGUAAUUUUGGACGAAGGGGUGAAAA